CAGAAAAUUCUGAAAGCAAGAUGUAGUUAGAAAUCUUUGGCAUCUAAGCAACAAUUCAGGAAAGAGUAAAAGACAAGCUUCUGUGGAAAGGGCAACAAACACUAUCACCCUCAGACCAGAGGUGAACAUCCUUUGCAGCAAGGUGAAAGAGACACAAAACACCCUCUGCCCUUGAAGGAGAGACAGGAGACGCCUCUGUUGGCUUCUCUGCUGCUUAACAGAAGUCAUGAGAUGCCUGGGUAUAAACUGUUGCCUAAGGAUACAGGGUGUGUGGCUGGUGGCCUCAACAGGCCCCACGGCUCAGGCACUCAGACCCAAGCUGGUCCCUCAGACUAAAUGGUUUUCCUGGGAACUCUGACUCUGGCCACAAGAUGAAGACUGACAAAUUUCCUUUCUCUGUUUAUGGAGGGAGACUUCACAACAUUCACUGAAAGAGGAGCAAAGGACCUGGUUUUUGCCAUGACUGGCUUUGGCCCCGUGAAUGAAUGUUUUUCUGGCAUUGGAAAGCGGAUUGCAAAGAGAGCAGAACCACAAAUGGGCUAUGAGGAAAUGUGUUCAAUGAAGAAAACAAAAUCUCUGACAAGAUCCCACAUAAGACAACAUCUCAGCAUCUUCUGUGAUUUGUGAACCCAAGUAAAGCACUUCUUAGAGUUAUCUGGCACAUUCGCAACUAAUAGCUUUCCAUGAAUAAAUACUGUG
This 699-nucleotide long non-coding RNA is filed under the name Pan troglodytes (chimpanzee). RNAcentral describes it as "long non-coding RNA NONPTRT012043". The record is from RNAcentral. Lineage: Eukaryota; Metazoa; Chordata; Mammalia; Primates; Hominidae.